This 286-nucleotide long non-coding RNA is filed under the name Homo sapiens (human). RNAcentral describes it as "HSALNT0182122". The record is from RNAcentral. Lineage: Eukaryota; Metazoa; Chordata; Mammalia; Primates; Hominidae.
GGAAACGGAGGCUGAAGAGGGUUCAAGGCCCAGAGAGGACCAUGUACGGGCGAGGAGCCCCACCAUCAGCCAUCCUCCCACGACCUUCGUGAAGGACAGAGGAGAGGAGAGAAGUGCUCUUGGCUGCCAGACCCUCCCCGCCUAAGACCUGAAGGAGGCAGAAGAGAUGGCAGGAACCACGGCCUCUUCUCAACACCACCAGGGAGGACCUUCUGCUAAAAGUGCUACAUUCAUACACAUACUCUUUACACCCAGCGAAUCCAAAGAAAUAAAAUGUGGCACUUAA